UGCGGGGUAGUUCAGUAGUAGAACGCUGGAUUCAUAAUCCAGAGGUCGGUGGUGCAAUUCCACUCCCCGCUACCA
This 75-nucleotide transfer RNA is filed under the name Caldifarciminota bacterium. RNAcentral's name for it is "candidate division WOR-3 bacterium tRNA-Met". It matches the Rfam family "tRNA". From Rfam's summary of the family: Transfer RNA (tRNA) molecules are approximately 80 nucleotides in length. Their secondary structure includes four short double-helical elements and three loops (D, anti-codon, and T loops). The record is from RNAcentral. Lineage: Bacteria; Pseudomonadati; Caldifarciminota.